RNAcentral lists this ribosomal RNA (455 nucleotides) under uncultured bacterium. RNAcentral's name for it is "bacterial SSU rRNA". It matches the Rfam family "Bacterial small subunit ribosomal RNA", at positions 1 to 507 of the family's 1533-position model. The record is from RNAcentral.
AGUAGUUUGAUCAGUGCUACAGAACGACGCUGGGCGGCAUGCCUAACACAUGCAAGUCGAACGAGACCUUCGGGUCUAGUGGCGCACGGGUGCGUAACGCGUGGGAAUCUGCCCUAGGGUGCGGAAUAACUCGGAGAAAUCCGUGCUAAUACCGCAUAAUGUCUUCGGACCAAAGAUUUAUCGCCCUGGGAUGAGCCCGCGUAGGAUUAGCUAGUUGGUGGGGUAAAGGCCUACCAAGGCGACGAUCCUUAGCUGGUCUGAGAGGAUGAUCAGCCACACUGGGACUGAGACACGGCCCAGACUCCUACGGGAGGCAGCAGUGGGGAAUAUUGGACAAUGGGCGAAAGCCUGAUCCAGCAAUGCCGCGUGAGUGAUGAAGGCCCUAGGGUUGUAAAGCUCUUUUACCCGGGAUGAUAAUGACAGUACCGGGAGAAUAAGCUCCGGCUAACUCCGUG